UUACGGCCACAUCAUGUUGAAAAACUGGUACUCGUAUGAUCAUCAAAGUUAAGCAACAUCGAGCCUGAUCAGUACCAAGAUGAGUCACUGCUUGGGAAUACCAGGUGCUGUAAG
Molecule: non-coding RNA, 114 nt
Organism: Acanthosepion pharaonis
Lineage: Eukaryota; Metazoa; Mollusca; Cephalopoda; Sepiida; Sepiidae
Source: the annotation of a GenBank genome assembly